CUACGGGAGGCACCAGUCGAGAAUCUUCCGCAAUGGACGAAAGUCUGACGGAGCGACGCCGCGUGCGGGAUGAAGGCCUUCGGGUUGUAAACCGCUGUCAGUGGGGAGGAAAUGCAUCAGGGUUCUCCCUGGUGUUUGACCGAUCCGCAGAGGAAGCGCAGGCUAAGUUCGUGCCAGCAGCCGCGGUAACACGAACUGCGCGAACGUUAUUCGGAAUCACUGGGCUUAAAGAGUUCGUAGGCGGCCUUUCAAGUCGGGUGUGAAAUCCCUCGGCUCAACCGAGGAAUUGCGCCUGAUACUGUUGGGCUUGAGGGGGAUAGGGGUAAGCGGAACUGAUGGUGGAGCGGUGAAAUGCGUUGAUAUCAUCAGGAACACCGGUGGCGAAGGCGGCUCACUGGAUCUCUUCUGACGCUGAGGAACGAAAGCUAGGGGAGCGAACGGGAUUAGAUACCCCCGUAGUC
This 461-nucleotide ribosomal RNA is filed under the name uncultured bacterium. RNAcentral describes it as "partial 16S ribosomal RNA". It matches the Rfam family "Bacterial small subunit ribosomal RNA", at positions 339 to 795 of the family's 1533-position model. The record is from RNAcentral.